AAAAAACACUGGCUGGAACAGCGCUGGUAUCUCUAGGCAGGUCCCAUGACCUCCUCAGGUGACACGUAGCCUUCACGGUUGCCUAGCUCCUCAUGGCUCAGAGGCACGUACAGUGGAGAGAUGCGGGGAGGACCGUUCUCGGGUAACACUUCCAUUUCCUGAUGUACAACAUGCAGCUUCCUGAAAGCGAGAAGGCCUGUCUGCUCCUUGAUCAUUCUCUUGGAAUAACUGAUAACCCAUAGGGAAGCUGAGGAUAAUACAAAGAAAACCUUCCAAAAAAGAAAGACUGCUUCAA
This is a long non-coding RNA of Arvicola amphibius (Eurasian water vole), 295 nucleotides long. RefSeq lists it as uncharacterized. Lineage: Eukaryota; Metazoa; Chordata; Mammalia; Rodentia; Cricetidae. The record is from RefSeq and is a predicted model, not a curated record. The transcript is spliced from 3 exons.